This 498-nucleotide ribosomal RNA is filed under the name uncultured bacterium. RNAcentral describes it as "partial 16S ribosomal RNA". It matches the Rfam family "Bacterial small subunit ribosomal RNA", at positions 30 to 523 of the family's 1533-position model. The record is from RNAcentral.
AUUGAACGCUGGCGGCAUGCCUUACACAUGCAAGUCGAACGGUAACGGGCCUUCGGGUGCCGACGAGUGGCGAAUGGGUGAGUAAUGCAUCGGAACGUACCAUUGAGUGGGGGAUAACGUAGCGAAAGUUACGCUAAUACCCCAUAUUCUGUGAGCAGGAAAGCAGGGGAUCGCAAGACCUUGCGCUCUUUGAGCGGCCGAUGUCGGAUUAGCUAGUUGGUGAGGUAAAGGACCACCAAGGCUAGGAUCCGUAGCGGGUCUGAGAGGAUGAUCCGCCACACGGGGACUGAGACACGGCCCAGACUCCUACGGGAGGCAGCAGUGGGGAAUUUUGGACAAUGGGGGCAACCCUGAUCCAGCCAUGCCGCGUGAGUGAAGAAGGCCUUCGGGUUGUAAAGCUCUUUCGGCCGGGAAGAAAUCGUGUGGGCUAAUACCCUGCAUGGAUGACGGUACCGGAAUAAGAAGCACCGGCUAACUACGUGCCAGCCGCCGCAGUAA